CAAGAUCUUCUUUACCCUACUGAGUUUUUGAAUACACUCAAAUUUUCGGGUUUGCCAACACAUAUUUUAAGGCUUAAAAAAGGAGCAAUAGUUAUGUUAAUGAGAAAUUUGAAUCAAGGAGCUGGGCUAUGUAAUGGUACAAGAAUGAAAAUUACACAACUUGGAAAAUGGUUUAUGGAAGGAGAGGUGUUGAGUGGAUCUAUCAUUGGAGAUAAAGUUCUCAUUCCAAGAAUAUCUUUGUCGCCUUCAGAAUCCAAUUGGCCUUUUAUUCUUAAUCGAAGACAGUAUCCUAUAUCAUUAUGUUUUGCCAUGACAAUAAAUAAAAGUCAAGGACAAUCGUUGCAGCACGUUGGAUUAUAUUUGCCUAAACAAGUAUUUACUCAUGGACAAUUGUAUGUCGCCAUCUCGAGAGUAACCAAUCGAAAUGGAUUACAUAUUCUUAGUAACGGCGAUGAGAAGCCCAGUGAAAACAAGGUCUUAAAUAUUGUGUACAAAGAGAUUCUUUAGUUGUUUGUUUACAUGAUUGUGCAGAAUUCUAAGACAAAAUGGGAAUGUUAUGUACACUGCAAAAAAUAGAUUGCCCUUAUACGUCAACAUGGUGGAAUGCUUGCAGCCUACUUCAUUCUUGAGGUUUUCGCUAGGGAUGGGGUGUCGUUUUCAACUACUUGUGAAAAUCUUCUCCCUGGACCUUGGAUAAUUGAUGACCUUGAUACUUUAAAAUUAAAAUGGAGCAACAACUCCUGGAAGA
Cicer arietinum (chickpea) is the source of this 748-nucleotide non-coding RNA. The record is from RefSeq and is a predicted model, not a curated record. NCBI's taxonomy places the organism in Eukaryota, Viridiplantae, Streptophyta, Magnoliopsida, Fabales, Fabaceae.